GCGCACCAAUCGUAUGACGGUUGUUCGCGGCGCUUUGAUACAGCGCCUGCAGGUCGCCGCCCGACCAGAAAUCGCGUUCAAAGCGCUCGGUCUGCAC
RNAcentral lists this transfer RNA (97 nucleotides) under Paraburkholderia gardini. RNAcentral describes it as "Paraburkholderia sp. LMG 32171 tRNA-Ile". The record is from RNAcentral. Lineage: Bacteria; Pseudomonadati; Pseudomonadota; Betaproteobacteria; Burkholderiales; Burkholderiaceae.